This is a non-coding RNA of Cinara cedri, 443 nucleotides long. Lineage: Eukaryota; Metazoa; Arthropoda; Insecta; Hemiptera; Aphididae. The record is from the annotation of a GenBank genome assembly.
CGUCCGUUUUCACUUUCCAUAGGCAUAAUUAUAAUGUUGUUACAAAACGCGCGCGAACGUAAUCGAAUCGUUCGCCGAAUUCGUUAGCCGGUCCGGUCCGUUAUAGCGGGGAUAAAAAAAAAAUGUACAUAUAUAUUUAAAUAAAAAAAAACUACAGAGUAUUUCGUAUCUAUACGCGGAUAAAAGUAAAUAUUUAUUCGAAAGAACGGAAGGCGACGUUUUUCCCCGGGAUUAUAGUACGUACAUGUAUAGACGUGUGUAUAUGCCGAGCGCGCGGGGGAUUAUACAGCCGAAUGCGUAUUGUAAAGAGAAAUGCGACCGUAUUAAAAAAUAAUAAUACUGAAAAAAAAAAAAAAAAAAAAACCGACCGCAUAAUGUAGUCCGUAUGGUCCGUCCGGUGUUAACAACGUCCGCCGCCGCCGUAAUACUUAUAAAGCGGCCUC